AUUCAGGCCUAACACAUGCAAGUCGAGCGGCAGCGCGGGUAGUUUACUACCUGGCGGCGAGCGGCGGACGGCUGAGUAACACGUGGGAACAUACCCCAAAGUGAGGGAUAACUGCCCGAAAGGGUGGCUAAUACCGCAUAUGGUCUUCGGAUUAAAGGAUUUAUCCGCUUUGGGAAUGGCCUGCGUACGAUUAGUUAGUUGGUGAGGUAACGGCUCACCAAGACGAUGAUGGGUAGGGGUCCUGAGAGGGAGAUCCCCCACACUGGUACUGAGACACGGACCAGACUCCUACGGGAGGCAGCAGUGAGGAAUAUUGGUCAAUGGGCGCAAGCCUGAACCAGCCAUGCCGCGUGCAGGACGACGGCCCUAUGGGUUGUAAACUGCUUUUGUACGGGAAGAAACACCCCCUCGUGAGGGGGCUUGACGGUACCGUAAGAAUAAGGAUCGGCUAACUCCGUGCCAGCAGCCGCGGUAAUACGGAGGAUCCAAGCGUUAUCCGGAAUCAUUGGGUUUAAAGGGUCCGUAGGCGGGCCUGUAAGUCAGUGGUGAAAUCUCCCCGCUCAACGGGGAAACGGCCAUUGAUACUGCAGGCCUUGAAUUAUUAGGAAGUAACUAGAAUAUGUAGUGUAGCGGUGAAAUGCUUAGAGAUUACAUGGAGUACCGAUUGCGAAGGCAGGUUACUACUGAUUGAUUGACGCUGAUGGACGAAAGCGUGGGGAGCGAACAGGAUUAGAUACCCUGGUAGUCCACGCCGUAAACGAUGGAUACUAGCUGUCCGGGCGCAAGNCUGGGUGGCUAAGCGAAAGUGAUAAGUAUCCCACCUGGGGAGUACGGGCGCAAGCCUGAAACUCAAAGGAAUUGACGGGGGCCCGCACAAGCGGUGGAGCAUGUGGUUUAAUUCGAUGAUACGCGAGGAACCUUACCAGGGCUUAAAUGGGGAGCGACAGCUGCGGAAACGUGGCCUUCUUCGGACGCUCUUCAAGGUGCUGCAUGGUUGUCGUCAGCUCGUGCCGUGAGGUGUCAGGUUAAGUCCUAUAACGAGCGCAACCCCUGUUGCUAGUUGCCAGCGAGUCAAGUCGGGAACUCUAGCAAGACUGCCGGUGCAAACCGCGAGGAAGGUGGGGAUGACGUCAAAUCAUCACGGCCCUUACGCCCUGGGCUACACACGUGCUACAAUGGCCGGUACAGAGAGCAGCCACUGCGCGAGCAGGAGCGAAUCUACAAAACCGGUCUCAGUUCGGAUCGGGGUCUGCAACUCGACCCCGUGAAGCUGGAAUCGCUAGUAAUCGGAUAUCAGCCAUGAUCCGGUGAAUACGUUCCCGGGCCUUGUACACACCGCCCGUCAAGCCAUGGAAGCUGGGGGUGCCUGAAGUCGGUGACCGCAAGGAGCUGCCUAGGGUAAAACCGGUAACUAGGGCUAAG
RNAcentral lists this ribosomal RNA (1422 nucleotides) under uncultured Bacteroidota bacterium. Its description in RNAcentral is "bacterial SSU rRNA". It matches the Rfam family "Bacterial small subunit ribosomal RNA". Lineage: Bacteria; Pseudomonadati; Bacteroidota. The record is from RNAcentral.